Podarcis lilfordi (Lilford's wall lizard) is the source of this 72-nucleotide non-coding RNA. The record is from the annotation of a GenBank genome assembly. Lineage: Eukaryota; Metazoa; Chordata; Lepidosauria; Squamata; Lacertidae.
CAUUUGUCCCUCGGUGGUAGGAUACCUGUCUUGCAUGCAGAAGGUCCCAGGUUCAAUCCCCUGCAGGCAGGA